RNAcentral lists this ribosomal RNA (497 nucleotides) under uncultured bacterium. RNAcentral describes it as "partial 16S ribosomal RNA". It matches the Rfam family "Bacterial small subunit ribosomal RNA", at positions 28 to 507 of the family's 1533-position model. The record is from RNAcentral.
GAUGAACGCUGGCGGCGUGCCUAAUACAUGCAAGUCGAGCGAACAGACGAGGAGCUUGCUCCUCUGACGUUAGCGGCGGACGGGUGAGUAACACGUGGAUAACCUACCUAUAAGACUGGGAUAACUUCGGGAAACCGGAGCUAAUACCGGAUAAUAUAUUGAACCGCAUGGUUCAAUAGUGAAAGACGGUUUUGCUGUCACUUAUAGAUGGAUCCGCGCCGCAUUAGCUAGUUGGUAAGGUAACGGCUUACCAAGGCGACGAUGCGUAGCCGACCUGAGAGGGUGAUCGGCCCCACUGGAACUGGGACACGGUCCAGACUCCUACGGGAGGCAGCAGUAGGGAAUCUUCCGCAAUGGGCGAAAGCCUGACGGAGCAACGCCGCGUGAGUGAUGAAGGUCUUCGGAUCGUAAAACUCUGUUAUUAGGGAAGAACAAAUGUGUAAGUAACUAUGCACGUCUUGACGGUACCUAAUCAGAAAGCCACGGCUAACUACGUG